UCCAAAAAAAAGUAUAGUGGUGAGUAUCUCCGCCUGUCACGCGGGAGACUGGGGUUCAAUUCCCCCCUCGAG
This 72-nucleotide transfer RNA is filed under the name Entomophthora muscae. Its description in RNAcentral is "tRNA-Asp". The stretch from base 11 to 66 matches the Rfam family "tRNA", at positions 9 to 63 of the family's 71-position model. Rfam says of the family: Transfer RNA (tRNA) molecules are approximately 80 nucleotides in length. Their secondary structure includes four short double-helical elements and three loops (D, anti-codon, and T loops). Lineage: Eukaryota; Fungi; Entomophthoromycota; Entomophthoromycetes; Entomophthorales; Entomophthoraceae. The record is from RNAcentral.